AUGAACGCUGGCGGCGUGCCUAAUACAUGCAAGUCGAGCGAACAGACGAGGAGCUUGCUCCUCUGACGUUAGCGGCGGACGGGUGAGUAACACGUGGAUAACCUACCUAUAAGACUGGGAUAACUUCGGGAAACCGGAGCUAAUACCGGAUAAUAUAUUGAACCGCAUGGUUCAAUAGUGAAAGACGGUUUUGCUGUCACUUAUAGAUGGAUCCGCGCCGCAUUAGCUAGUUGGUAAGGUAACGGCUUACCAAGGCAACGAUGCGUAGCCGACCUGAGAGGGUGAUCGGCCACACUGGAACUGAGACACGGUCAAGACUCCUACGGGAGGCAGCAGUAGGGAAUCUUCCGCAAUGGGCGAAAGCUUGACGGAGCAACGCCGCGUGAGUGAUGAAGGUCUUCGGAUCGUAAAACUCUGUUAUUAGGGAAGAACAAAUGUGUAAGUAACUAUGCACGUCUUGACGGUACCUAAUCAGAAAGCCACGGCUAACUACGUG
Molecule: ribosomal RNA, 496 nt
Filed under: uncultured bacterium
Lineage: Bacteria
Description: partial 16S ribosomal RNA
Rfam family: Bacterial small subunit ribosomal RNA
Source: RNAcentral